GACGAACGCUGGCGGCGUGCUUAACACAUGCAAGUCGAACGGAAAGGCCUUGCUUUUGUGGGGUGCUCGAGUGGCGAACGGGUGAGUAACACGUGAGUAACCUGCCCUUGACUUUGGGAUAACUUCAGGAAACUGGGGCUAAUACCGGAUAGGAGCUCCUGCUGCAUGGUGGGGGUUGGAAAGUUUCGGCGGUUGGGGAUGGACUCGCGGCUUAUCAGCUUGUUGGUGGGGUAGUGGCUUACCAAGGCUUUGACGGGUAGCCGGCCUGAGCGGGUGACCGGCCACAUUGGGACUGAGAUACGGCCCAGACUCCUACGGGAGGCAGCAGUGGGGAAUAUUGCACAAUGGGCGGAAGCCUGAUGCAGCAACGCCGCGUGCGGGAUGACGGCCUUCGGGUUGUAAACCGCUUUCGCCUGUGACGAAGCGUGAGUGACGGUAAUGGGUAAAGAAGCACCGGCUAACUACGUG
RNAcentral lists this ribosomal RNA (468 nucleotides) under uncultured bacterium. RNAcentral describes it as "partial 16S ribosomal RNA". It matches the Rfam family "Bacterial small subunit ribosomal RNA", at positions 28 to 507 of the family's 1533-position model. The record is from RNAcentral.